Molecule: regulatory RNA element, 117 nt
Rfam family: Bacteroidete tryptophan peptide leader RNA
Source: Rfam
UCGUUUCUAUCUUUGAGACCAUGUUUUCAAUGAAAUUAAAUAACUGGUGGUGGAAUAACUUACGUCGAAAUUCGUGAGCUAACCUGCCAUUCAAUUAUAUAAACUAUAAGGCUUGUC